CGGUGUGUACAAGGCCCGGGAACGCUGAGACAGGUGCUGCAUGGCUGUCGUCAGCUCGUGUUGUGAAAUGUUGGGUUAAGUCCCGCAACGAGCGCAACCCUUAUCCUUUGUUGCCAGCGAUUCGGUCGGGAACUCAAAGGAGACUGCCGGUGAUAAACCGGAGGAAGGUGGGGAUGACGUCAAGUCAUCAUGGCCCUUACGAGUAGGGCUACACACGUGCUACAAUGGCGCAUACAAAGAGAAGCGACCUCGCGAGAGCAAGCGGACCUCACAAAGUGCGUCGUAGUCCGGAUCGGAGUCUGCAACUCGACUCCGUGAAGUCGGAAUCGCUAGUAAUCGUGGAUCAGAAUGCCACGG
This 357-nucleotide ribosomal RNA is filed under the name uncultured bacterium. Its description in RNAcentral is "bacterial SSU rRNA". It matches the Rfam family "Bacterial small subunit ribosomal RNA", at positions 1008 to 1362 of the family's 1533-position model. The record is from RNAcentral.